UCCAAGUUGUGCAAGUGUGGUC
This 22-nucleotide non-coding RNA is filed under the name Arabidopsis thaliana (thale cress). Lineage: Eukaryota; Viridiplantae; Streptophyta; Magnoliopsida; Brassicales; Brassicaceae. The record is from RNAcentral.